RNAcentral lists this long non-coding RNA (614 nucleotides) under Triticum aestivum (bread wheat). RNAcentral describes it as "long non-coding RNA (TAES_LNC005451)". The record is from RNAcentral. Lineage: Eukaryota; Viridiplantae; Streptophyta; Magnoliopsida; Poales; Poaceae.
UACCUCGCAAUGGAUCAGAGGAACAAUGUACAAUCUUAUAGGGACAUCUAUCAACCAUGAAUACCACCUUCCAGCGUGGUGUUUGUGUGUGUGUGUGUGUGUUUGAUGAUUAACCGGCCAAGUUUACAUGCAUAUAUCUGAAUAUUAACGACCUUAUUUCUGAUAGCAUAGAAUAACUGUAUGUGCUGCUGUGAAUAUGAGUGCUUUGUUUCACGCUUCUCUUGAACAAGAGAAAUAGAGACAUGAUAAUGAUAGGAUCCAGGAGGUAUGCACAUGAAUUAAUUUUCAAAUAGAUAUCAGUGUUUUAAAUGCAAUAACUUGAAGCUUUCCCUUCCCCACUUAAAAACUGAGUGAGAUUUAUCUUUAUAAUGUUUCAGUUAUGAUAAAAGAGAAACUAUCUGUGCAUACGAGUGAUUUGUUUCACACUUCUCUUAAACAAGAGAAAUAGAGACAUGAUAAUGAUAGGAUCCAGGAGGUAUGCACAUGAAUUAAUUUUCAAAUAGAUAUCAGUGUUUUAAAUGCAAUAUCUUGAAGCUUUCCCUUCCCCACUUAAAAACUGAGUGAGGUUUAUCUUUAUAAUGUUUCAGUUAUGAUAAAAGAGAAACUAUCUGUGC